RNAcentral lists this long non-coding RNA (333 nucleotides) under Castor canadensis (American beaver). RNAcentral's name for it is "lncRNA (ENSCCNG00000019261.1)". Lineage: Eukaryota; Metazoa; Chordata; Mammalia; Rodentia; Castoridae. The record is from RNAcentral.
GGCACGUAAGCUGCUGGGAAUCUCGGAGAACACUACAGCACUUAAAAUGGCAGCUCCUGUCUGUGGACACCCUUGAUGUCUAGAAGCUGACUAAGGCUAGGGUUCUGUUGCUCCUUGGCUAAGGGCACCACUUUCAGAUAAAAACAUAGACCUGAAUGGCAUCAUCCAGUAUCCAAGGAAACCAUGAUGAGGACUUCUAAGUACUUUUAGAAUGGAUGUAUAGAUAAUGGUAAGUUAUAUUAUUUGGCAUUUCUUACAUUUUAUUUAUUUCUUUGAUUGAUUAAUUGCAGUUAAAUUACCUUAGCAUGCAAGAACAGAUUUUACAGAUUUUGA